GAUGAACGCUAGCGGGAGGCCUAAUACAUGCAAGUCGAGCGGUAGAGUGACUUCGGUUGCUUGAGAGCGGCGAACGGGUGAGUAACGCGUACACAAUCUACCUUUAAGAGGGGAAUAGCCCUGGGAAACUGGGAUUAAUGCCCCAUGGCAUCACGAGACGGCAUCGUUUUGUGAUUAAAGCUGAGGUGCUUAGAGAUGAGUGUGCGUCUGAUUAGCUAGUUGGUGCGGUAACGGCGCACCAAGGCGACGAUCAGUAGGGGGCGUGAGAGCGUGGACCCCCACACGGGUACUGAGACACGGGACCCGACUCCUACGGGAGGCAGCAGUAAGGAAUAUUGGUCAAUGGAGGAAACUCUGAACCAGCCAUCCCGCGUGCAGGAAGAAGGCGCUCAGCGUUGUAAACUUCUUUUGGAUGGGAAUAAUAACCUCUACGAGAUAGGGGCUUGAAGGUACCAUCAGAAUAAGCACCGGCUAACUCCGUGCCAGCAGCCG
This 492-nucleotide ribosomal RNA is filed under the name uncultured bacterium. RNAcentral's name for it is "bacterial SSU rRNA". It matches the Rfam family "Bacterial small subunit ribosomal RNA", at positions 28 to 517 of the family's 1533-position model. The record is from RNAcentral.